UUGGAUGAGAUCAAUGUAGAACCUGCACUUUAAAAAAGAAACCCACGUUAAGUGGUGGAACAUAUAUUGAUUUCAUCGGA
RNAcentral lists this microRNA precursor (80 nucleotides) under Medicago truncatula (barrel medic). Its description in RNAcentral is "MIR5269 microRNA precursor family". It matches the Rfam family "MIR5269 microRNA precursor family". Lineage: Eukaryota; Viridiplantae; Streptophyta; Magnoliopsida; Fabales; Fabaceae. The record is from Rfam by way of RNAcentral.